AGGUGUGUUCAGGUGCAUUCUGGGGGUGCUGGUCUUACAGGGAGGUGUGUUCAGGUGCAUUAUGGGCUUGCUGGUCUUACGGGAUGGUGUUCAGGCUUCGGGGCGUUUGCUGGUCUUAUAGGGAGGUGUGUUCAGGUGCAUUCUGGGUGUGCUGGUCUUACAGGGAGGUGUGUUCAGGUGCAUUCUGUGUGUGGUUCUUUCAGGGAGGUGGUUCAGGUGUUCUUGGGCGUGCUGGGUCUUACAGGGAGGGGUUUCAGGUGCAAUC
This is a long non-coding RNA of Etheostoma spectabile (orangethroat darter), 265 nucleotides long. RefSeq lists it as uncharacterized. The transcript has 3 exons. The record is from RefSeq and is a predicted model, not a curated record. Lineage: Eukaryota; Metazoa; Chordata; Actinopteri; Perciformes; Percidae.